ACGCUUGAAGUCAGUCACGUCGACCGAGACUCAGCCUUGCCUCGGCUUGGUGUACUUCUCGGCCAACGGGUCAGCAUCAAUUUUGCCCCUUGGAUAAUGGCGAGGGAAAUGUGACACCUUUAUGGUGUGUUAUAGUCUCUCGUCGCAUGCAAGGGUUGGGAUUGAGGAACUCAGCACGCGCCUUUGGGUGUCGGGGCUUUGCCCACGAUACGUGCUUAGGAUGUUGGCAUAAUGGCUUUAAACGACCCGUCUUGAAACACGGACCAAGGAGUC
Molecule: ribosomal RNA, 273 nt
Filed under: Russula azurea
Lineage: Eukaryota; Fungi; Basidiomycota; Agaricomycetes; Russulales; Russulaceae
Description: partial large subunit ribosomal RNA
Source: RNAcentral